Molecule: unclassified non-coding RNA, 2580 nt
Filed under: Hevea brasiliensis (rubber tree)
Lineage: Eukaryota; Viridiplantae; Streptophyta; Magnoliopsida; Malpighiales; Euphorbiaceae
Source: RNAcentral
GGAAAUUUGAAUUCCGAUAUCUGUCCUCCCCAAAACCUAAACGCCAUCACGAACAAGAACAACCUGUCUUUGGUGGAAAUUCCAAUUCAAAUUCAACAACGCAGAGACCUGCUUUGCCCUAGAAUCCAUAUCCAAAGUAAAUGGAUUCUAGCGUUGUGAGCGAAUUCGUAAGGAAAGAAGUCCCUGAUUGGGACGACGAAGUGAUCGCCACAGCUCGAUUCAAAGCAUUUAGCGGACAAAGAUCGGAUUGGGAAUCCAAAUACCUAUUUUGGAGGGAUUUGAUUCUCAAAAUUGCCUGCCAUCUGGGCAUGUUCGUUAUUCGACCUUCUAAGGUUCAAUUUUCACUAACACUUCCAUUUUCUUCAGUCUCAUUUGGUUAAACUCAUACGUGCGCCCUUGAAAACUGCUUUCUUAUUUUUAAAUUCGUGCACUAUUUUUAUUUUUGGAUCAAAUAUGAAGGUGAAAAAUGAGUGGUUUAAUCGAGGAGGAUUGACCCCUUUAUGCUUUGAUCAUGUACUGGUGAGCUUCUUUGUAUUGUAAUUCAAUGAAUGUAUACUUCUUUUCUAAAUCUAUUUUCUUUUCCAAUUAGUUCGUUUCUUUACUUUUCUUUCGCAUUUUUUUUUUCAAUUGUUAUUUUUCAGUUUUUAAUGUAUAGUGAAGGUGAUAUUAUGCGAAGUGUGGAUCUUGUGGAUCCAAGGAUUGGGCGACUCUCCCAGUUGUUUAGAAAAGUAAGAAAUUUGGUGGUUAGGUCAACCACAACCCUGGAAUUAAUGCUGGAGGACAAUGUCAUUCUUACAGCUUUAUUGAAGGAAAAAGCUAGUGAAAUUAUCAAACUUUUAUCUGAAAGUCAUUGGACAUCUUCAUGCAUUGUUACCAUGAGGAAGUUCCAGGACAUGUGUGGAGGACCAAAUGAAGCAUCUGCAGUUUUGAGUUAUUUGUCUGGACAAGGGAAAGCUCAAUAUCUCUCAGUUAAUAAGAAGGAAUUUAUAGAGGUAUAACACUAUGGUCCUUCCUUGAAACAUGUUGAGGGUAUCACUGUCAAAGCCUCAAGGGCAUUGAUUGAGUUUCUUAAAUUUCUAAAAGAGAAGUCAAUCCUUCACUUUGCUCAAAUUAUGCUUAGAAAAAUAAUUAACAUCUCUUGCAAAUCCAGAUGUCAGGGCAAGUUUGUAUUUCAUGUUUAUGCAGAGUGGAGGAGGUUGUCUGACUACAGAAAAGCUUAAGAUGAUAGUCACUUAACUACUAGGACGCUAGCUCAGUGGUGGAGAUAAUCAUCGACCUCACAUUUUAUGAAUAGUAACUAUUGCAGUGUUGCACGGUCAUUAUAAGAUUGGUAAUUAAAUUACCUUUUUGCAGGGAAUUAAAGUUUCCCUCUCACCAGCACCAGUGCCUACCAUCUCAAGCUUAGAUUUUGAUGUUCUGCACUUGAUAUGGACAAUAGAGAAGCUUCAGCGGCAAAUUGAUUUGAUUGACCAGCGUUAUGAAAUGUACCUCCUGUAACUCUUCCUUGCCUAUUUGCCAAUACUAUCUUGCUUGGGGUUGAGGCCCAAAUUUAAUUAUUCACCUAAAAUCUAAAUUAGUGGACAACAGCAACUAUUUUCUGUGCCAAGUACUGUUGAGGGUUGAAUUUCACAUGAACUUGGACCAGCAACUAUAUUGUCAUUAUUUGAUUGAACCACAUGGGACGCAUAGCAUUAUGUCAGCUGUUAAAAAAGUUGAUUAACAUUCUUUGAUACCAUGAAUAAUUUAAGGAGGAUUUAUAGGUCAAUGAUCGUAUAUAUGGAUUGCAAGUUUUCGUAUACCAUCAGUUAACUUUUUCUGCGCAGAUCAAGAAAAUCAGCUUUGGCAUCUCUGAAAUCCGGAAACAAGAAAAUGGCUCUAAGAAAUGCUAGGGAGAUGAAAUUGACCUCAGAAAGUAGAGAAAAAUGCACUUCACUUUUGAACAGAGUGGAGGAGCUUCUUAAUGCUAUAAUGAAUGCUGAAUCUACAAAGAAGGUAACUGAGGCCAUCCAAAUUGGAGCGCAAGCAAUGAAGCAAAACAGGAUAACUGUGGACGAAGUUGAUCUCUGUUUGGAAGAACUUGAGGAGAGUAUUGAUUCUCAAAAGCAAGUUGAAAAGGCUCUGGAAUCAACUCCAUCGUAUUCUGGUAUUGAGGAUGAAGAUGUUGAAGAGGAGUUCAAAAAAUUAGAGUUUGAAGUAGGAAGUGAAAACCUCCAACCUUCGGUUCCAGGGAUUGGAGUUUGCGGUACAUCAGGAGAAACGGACAAUUUGGUAUCCACCGACUCACUAAGUGAUGCUCUGUCAAAUCUCAAGCUUCAGGAUUAUUCACAAAGUCAGGUUUCCGUGGUGGCAACGAGGACCAAAGGAUCAAAAAAUCCUACACUUGAAGCAGCAUAAAUGAAAAAAUUACAGUUGCCAUACUUGGCAUGUUUUACGAUGUGAAAUUCUUGAUCAUUCGACCAAUGUUUGGGUUCUUAUGUAAUUUUGUGUAUUAUAAAUUGACAUUCUGUGUAUUAUACAAAAUUCAAAUGUGCAUAUACAACAAAAUUAAAUUCAAUAAUUUAUAUUUUACAACUUUCUUUU